UCACCUGCUUCCAGACUGUGGUUGACUGUAGGUAAGUGAAACCACAGAAAGUGAAAUUGUGGAUAAGGGAGGACUACUGUAUGUGUACACACACACAUACACACACACACACACAGGUAACAGACUAAGAACUAGGAUAUAGAGUUCUACGUGAAAUUUUGUUCUUGAAAAGCAGAGUUUGGCCUUAUGUGUGACACCCAAAUACUUUGGGCUUAAAUUUUAUCAUCUGUACAAAUAAAAGGAUGAGGAAAGUUUUAUAUUUCUUCAGACUUAAGAUUAUGUGGAUCUAUAAAAAUAAACAAUGGAGAUAAAACUAAGGCUUAUCAACUGCCAAAUGUUGUAAACAGAUUUUCAAAAACAAGAGAUGUUCACAAUGUCAGAAAUGGAACACAGAAAUCAUCUUGAUUAUAUCUAAGAUCAGAACCAGAUGGCUGACAACUCCCUCCUGAGUUGUUCAUGAGUGAGGUUCUGCAGACUGCAAUCCAGGUUCUCUGCACCUGAUGCUGUUUGAUCAUCAUCAUCACAAUCAUCAUCAUCUUUAUGAUUAAAGAGCAUUUGCUCAAUUUUUCUGGAAUGAAUGGCAGCAGCUCAAGAUCUCUCUUCAGAUUGAAGUAUGAAAAAAAGAAUAAGAAAAUAACACACUAGCCACUGCAGAAGAAAGUACAACAAAACAAGUCAUACAGCCACUGAUUGGUCCCUUCUACUAAAGUGGUAAUUCAAAAACCAAAAAACUUCAAUAAGCCCAGCAAACAGAUCUCCGCAGGUCAGAAAUAGAAAGGUCAUUGAUAUUUCAGAAUUUCAAGAAUCUGAUGAUGCUGAUGAAGAUUAUGGAAGAGAUGCAGGCCCUCUAGCUAAGAAAAUUCACUCAUUUUCCCAGGAAGCAAAAAUAAGAGGCAAUUUGGAAAGAAUUCACAGGAAGAUAGUGAGGACUCUAAAGAAAAAGAUGUGGAGACCAAGAAGGGUGAUUCUCACUCAGCAGAAGACAGUGAAGAUAAAAAGAUCAUCGAAAUAUGUGUCAGCAAUGGCAAGCAGCCUCUAAAGCAGCUUCCAAUCAGAGAGAGAGAGAUGCUCAUGAAAGAUGAGGGCAGUGAAGAACAAGAGGAGGUUGAAGCACCACUCCAAGAGAAAGAUUCCAGCAGUGAUGAAGAUUUCCUAAUGGAAGACUAUGAUGAUAAUGACUAUGGCAGUUCCAAAAAAAAAAAGAAAAGAAAAACAAAAAGAUCCCUAUGAAGUCCAAUCCUGAGAUAAAAGAAAAUGCCCAAACCUAAGCCAAAGGCUACAGUGAGGCCAAACCCCCUGUGAGAGGCAAAGGGAAGGUAGGUCACUCCACAGCUUUAAAGGUAUCAAAGGAAAAGGCUCCUUCUCCCAACGAAAAGGAGAAACCAGAUAGCUCUCCAGAAAAGAAGCCCUCUGCAAGCCAUCCACCUGAAAAAUCUGGGGAUAACGGGUCUGAAGAUGAAGCUCAGUCUGUGGAGGAUUAAAAAGUAAUGAUGGUUUGGGGAGAUAUUUUAUUUAAAAAAAAAAGAGAAAAAAGAAAAAAGGAAAAAGAAAAUCUACUUCAGAUAGAACAUAGUUUUGGCUAUGGUUU
Canis lupus familiaris (dog) is the source of this 1588-nucleotide long non-coding RNA. RefSeq lists it as uncharacterized. Lineage: Eukaryota; Metazoa; Chordata; Mammalia; Carnivora; Canidae. The transcript has 5 exons. The record is from RefSeq and is a predicted model, not a curated record.